Molecule: ribosomal RNA, 167 nt
Filed under: uncultured bacterium
Lineage: Bacteria
Description: partial 16S ribosomal RNA
Rfam family: Bacterial small subunit ribosomal RNA
Source: RNAcentral
UAGGGAAUCUUCGGCAAUGGACGGAAAGUACUGACCGAGCAACGCCGCGUGAGUGAAGAAGGUUUUCGGAUCGUAAAACUCUGUUGGUAGAGAAGAACGUUGGUGAGAGUGGAAAGCUCAUCAAGUGACGGUAACUACCCAGAAAGGGACGGCUAACUACGUGCCAG